CAGUGGGGAAUAUUGCACAAUGGGCGCAAGCCUGAUGCAGCCAUGCCGCGUGUAUGAAGAAGGCCUUCGGGUUGUAAAGUACUUUCAGCGGGGAGGAAGGUGUUGUGGUUAAUAACCGCAGCAAUUGACGUUACCCGCAGAAGAAGCACCGGCUAACUCCGUGCCAGCAGCCGCGGUAAUACGGAGGGUGCAAGCGUUAAUCGGAAUUACUGGGCGUAAAGCGCACGCAGGCGGUCUGUCAAGUCGGAUGUGAAAUCCCCGGGCUCAACCUGGGAACUGCAUUCGAAACUGGCAGGCUUGAGUCUUGUAGAGGGGGGUAGAAUUCCAGGUGUAGCGGUGAAAUGCGUAGAGAUCUGGAGGAAUACCGGUGGCGAAGGCGGCCCCCUGGACAAAGACUGACGCUCAGGUGCGAAAGCGUGGGGAGCAAACAGGAUUAGA
RNAcentral lists this ribosomal RNA (438 nucleotides) under uncultured bacterium. RNAcentral describes it as "bacterial SSU rRNA". It matches the Rfam family "Bacterial small subunit ribosomal RNA", at positions 352 to 782 of the family's 1533-position model. The record is from RNAcentral.